RNAcentral lists this ribosomal RNA (253 nucleotides) under uncultured bacterium. RNAcentral describes it as "partial 16S ribosomal RNA". It matches the Rfam family "Bacterial small subunit ribosomal RNA", at positions 524 to 776 of the family's 1533-position model. The record is from RNAcentral.
UACAGAGGUCCCGAGCGUUGUUCGGAUUUACUGGGCGUAAAGGGCGCGUAGGCGGUAGCACAAGUCAGUUGUGAAAUCUCCGGGCUUAACUCGGAAAGGUCAACUGAUACUGUGCGACUAGAGUGCAGAAGGGGCAACUGGAAUUCUCGGUGUAGCGGUGAAAUGCGUAGAUAUCGAGAGGAACACCUGCGGCGAAGGCGGGUUGCUGGGCUGACACUGACGCUGAGGCGCGAAAGCCAGGGGAGCGAACGGG